Molecule: ribosomal RNA, 414 nt
Filed under: uncultured bacterium
Lineage: Bacteria
Description: bacterial SSU rRNA
Rfam family: Bacterial small subunit ribosomal RNA
Source: RNAcentral
CCUACGGGGUGCAGCAGCAGGGAAUUUUCCACAAUGGGGGCAACCCUGAUGGAGCAACGCCGCGUGCAGGACGAAGGCCUUCGGGUUGUAAACUGCUUUUAAGAGUGACGAUUAUGACGGUAGCUCUUGAAUAAGGAUUGGCUAACUCCGUGCCAGCAGCCGCGGUCAUACGGAGGAUCCAAGCGUUAUCCGGAAUUACUGGGCGUAAAGAGUUGCGUAGGUGGCAGAGUAAGUUGGUAGUGAAAGCGUACAGCUCAACUGUAUAUCCAUUACCAAAACUGCUCAGCUUGAGGACGAGAGAGGUAGAUGGAAUUCCUAGUGUAGGGGUAAAAUCCGUUGAUAUUAGGAGGAACACCGAUGGCGUGAGCAGUCUACUGGCUCGUUCCUGACACUCAGGCACGAAAGCGUGGGGAG